Molecule: ribosomal RNA, 495 nt
Filed under: uncultured bacterium
Lineage: Bacteria
Description: partial 16S ribosomal RNA
Rfam family: Bacterial small subunit ribosomal RNA
Source: RNAcentral
GAUGAACGCUGGCGGCGUGCCUAAUACAUGCAAGUAGAACGCUGAAGGAGGAGCUUUCUCUUCUGGAUGAGUUCCGCACACGGGAGUGUCGCGUAUGUAACCUCCCUGUUUGCGGGGGGGAAAUAUUGGAGACGAUAGCUAUUAUCCCAUAUCAACAGUUAUUGCAUGAUAACUAUUUAUAAAGGGCAACUUUUCCACUACCAGAUGGACCUGCGUUGUAUUAUCUAGUUGGUGAGGUAACGGCUCAACAAGGCGACGAUACAUAGCCGACCUGAGAGGGUGAUCGGCCACAAUGGGACUGAGAAACGGCCCAGACUCCUACGGGAGGCAGCAGUAGGGAAUCUUCGGCAAUGGACGGAAGUCUGAACGAGCAACGCCGCGGGAGUGAAGAAGGGUUUCGGAUCGUAAAGCUCUGUUGUAAGAGAAGAACGAGUGUGAGAGUGGAAAGUUCACACUGUGACGGUAUCUUACCAGAAAGGGACGGCUAACUACGUG